CCUACGGGAGGCAGCAGUAAGGAAUCUUCCGCAAUGGGCGAAAGCCUGACGGAGCAACGCCGCGUGGGCGAUGAAGGCCUUCGGGUCGUAAAGCCCUUUUCUGUGGGACGAUAAUGACGGUACCACAGGAAUAAGCCACGGCUAACUACGUGCCAGCAGCCGCGGUAAUACGUAGGUGGCUAGCGUUAUCCGGAAUCACUGGGCGUAAAGGGCGCCUAGGCGGCCUUGCAUGUCUGGGGUGAAAUCCCUCGGCUCAACUGGGGGAGGUCCUCGGAAACUGUAAGGCUGGGGCCCAGGAGAGGGGAGCGGAACUUCUAGAGUAGCGGUGAAAUGCGCAGAUACUAGAAGGUCCCUCGAUAGCGAAGGCAGCUCCCUGGUCUGGUGCCGACGCUGACGCGCGAAAGCGUGGGGAGCAAACCGGAUUAGAUACCCGGGUAGU
Molecule: ribosomal RNA, 439 nt
Filed under: uncultured bacterium
Lineage: Bacteria
Description: partial 16S ribosomal RNA
Rfam family: Bacterial small subunit ribosomal RNA
Source: RNAcentral